This 97-nucleotide signal recognition particle RNA is filed under the name Pseudomonadota bacterium. RNAcentral's name for it is "signal recognition particle sRNA small type". It matches the Rfam family "Bacterial small signal recognition particle RNA". From Rfam's summary of the family: The signal recognition particle (SRP) is a universally conserved ribonucleoprotein involved in the co-translational targeting of proteins to membranes. Archaeal SRP consists of a 7S RNA and homologues of the eukaryotic SRP19 and SRP54 proteins. Lineage: Bacteria; Pseudomonadati; Pseudomonadota. The record is from RNAcentral.
CCGUUGGCCCCUCGCGACGCUAGUUCGAAAAUCCCGCCAGGGCCGGAAGGCAGCAACGGUAUUGAAUGAUGCGGGCGCCGAGGAUCGUCGGCGGGGC